GAUGAACGCUAGCUACAGGCUUAACACAUGCAAGUCGAGGGGCAGCAAGAACUUAGCUUGCUAAGUUUGAUGGCGACCGGCGCACGGGUGAGUAACACGUAUCCAACCUGCCGAUGACUCGGGGAUAGCCUUUCGAAAGAAAGAUUAAUACCCGAUGGCAUAGUUCUUCCGCAUGGUAGAACUAUUAAAGAAUUUCGGUCAUCGAUGGGGAUGCGUUCCAUUAGGUUGUUGGCGGGGUAACGGCCCACCAAGCCUUCGAUGGAUAGGGGUUCUGAGAGGAAGGUCCCCCACAUUGGAACUGAGACACGGUCCAAACUCCUACGGGAGGCAGCAGUGAGGAAUAUUGGUCAAUGGACGAGAGUCUGAACCAGCCAAGUAGCGUGAAGGAUGACUGCCCUAUGGGUUGUAAACUUCUUUUAUACGGGAAUAAAGUGAGGCACGUGUGCCUUUUUGUAUGUACCGGAUGAAUAAGGAUCGGCUAACUCCGUG
This 489-nucleotide ribosomal RNA is filed under the name uncultured bacterium. RNAcentral's name for it is "partial 16S ribosomal RNA". It matches the Rfam family "Bacterial small subunit ribosomal RNA", at positions 28 to 507 of the family's 1533-position model. The record is from RNAcentral.